GUAGGUGGCAAGCGUUGUCCGGAAUUAUUGGGCGUAAAGCGCGCGCAGGUGGUUCUUUAAGUCUGAUGUGAAAGCCCCCGACUCAACCGGGGAGGGUCAUUGGAAACUGGGGAACUUGAGUGCAGGAGAGGAAAGUGGAAUUCCACGUGUAGCGGUGAAAUGCGUAGAUAUGUGGAGGAACACCAGUGGCGAAGGCGACUUUCUGGCCUGUAACUGACACUGAGGCGCGAAAGCGUGGGGAGCAAACAGGGAUUAGAUACCCUGGUAGUCCACGCCGUAAACGAUGAGUGCUAAGUGUUGGGGGGGUUUCCCGCCCCUCAGUGCUGCAGCUAACGCAUUAAGCACUCCGCCUGGGGAGUACGGUCGCAAGACUG
Molecule: ribosomal RNA, 374 nt
Filed under: uncultured organism
Description: partial 16S ribosomal RNA
Rfam family: Bacterial small subunit ribosomal RNA
Source: RNAcentral